Molecule: long non-coding RNA, 730 nt
Organism: Zophobas morio
Lineage: Eukaryota; Metazoa; Arthropoda; Insecta; Coleoptera; Tenebrionidae
Exons: 3
Source: RefSeq, a predicted model, not a curated record
GUCACGAAGUUCAUCACUGACCUGAAGAGAUGCUUCUGCGCCAAAGAUGACUGAUUAAUGUACACAGAGACAUCAAGGUUUACUUUAAGAGUAGCUACCGAAGAGCAGGUAUUAGAAGUCAUUUUCUUAGAGCCCCGUGAAUAAUCGUCGGCACCCAGACCAACAUGUGUUUCACCGAUUGUUACAUCGAGCAAGAGAAGAUGGAUCUUUUCAACCUAAUCGGAAAGGCCGUGCUGGAGCUCCACGGAAUGUACGUGUAGGUGCUGAAGAGCAAGUGUUAGAAAACAUGGAAGCGGAUCCUAGGAGAAGUGUCCUCUACGUAGCGCAAAUGAGUGGAUGCCCAAGAUCGACCACUCAUCGUAUCCUUCAAGAGAGAAGACUGUAUCCUUACCAUUACACGAGAGUGCAGCAUCUGCGACCAACCGACUACCCGCGACGAGUACAUUUUGCUCAAUGGUUACUGCGACAAAAUGAACUAAAUCCUGAUUUUUCACGGCGCAUUCUUUUCAACGACGAAUGCUCAUUUUCCCGAGAAGGAAUGUUUAAUGCACACAAUUGGCAAUUCUGGGCACACGAAAAUCCACAUCUCACUAGGGUGACAGCAUAUCAGGAGCGAUUUACUAUUAAUCUAUGGGCUGGAAUCAUUGGUACUACUGUGGUGGGGCCGUUUGUGUUACCUGAUCGCCUUAAUGGGGAGGCAUAUGCUAAUUUUCUACGACUAGAGCUUCCG